UACGUAGGGUGCAGGCGUUAAUCGGAAUUACUGGGCGUAAAGGGCGCGCAGGCGGCGCAUUUUGUCAGGCGUGAAAGCCCCGGGCUUAACCUGGGAACUGCGUUUGAUACGGAUGGGCUAGAGUUCGGGAGAGGAGAGUGGAAUUCCCAGUGUAGAGGUGAAAUUCGUAGAUAUUGGGAAGAACACCGGUGGCGAAGGCGGCUCUCUGGACCGAGACUGACGCUGAGGCGCGAAAGCCAGGGGAGCAAACGGG
RNAcentral lists this ribosomal RNA (253 nucleotides) under uncultured bacterium. RNAcentral's name for it is "partial 16S ribosomal RNA". It matches the Rfam family "Bacterial small subunit ribosomal RNA", at positions 524 to 776 of the family's 1533-position model. The record is from RNAcentral.